GGGUUGUGAGGUUAAGCGAAUAAGCGUACACGGUGGAUGCCUAGGCAAUCAGAGGCGAUGAAGGACGUGCUAAUCUGCGAAAAGCGUCGGUAAGGUGAUAUGAACCGUUAUACCCGACGAUAUCCGAAUGGGGAAACCCAGUAUCCAAUGGAUACUAUCAUUAACUGAAUCCAUAGGUUAAUGAGGCGAACCGGGAGAACUGAAACAUCUCAGUACCCCGAGGAAAAGAAAUCAACCGAGAUUCCCCUAGUAGCGGCGAGCGAACGGGGAGCAGCCCAGAGUCUUAAUCAAUAGCAGUGUCAGGAGAACGGUCUGGAAAGUCCGGCAGUAAAGGGUGAUAGCCCCGUAUCUGAAGAUGCUGUUAUUGUGAACUCGACGAGUAGGGCGGGACACGUGUUAUCCUGUCUGAAUAUGGGGGGACCAUCCUCCAAGGCUAAAUACUCCUGAUUGACCGAUAGUGAACCAGUACCGUGAGGGAAAGGCGAAAAGAACCCCGGCGAGGGGAGUGAAAAAGAACCUGAAACCGUGUACGUACAAGCAGUAGGAGCCUCUUUAUGGGGUGACUGCGUACCUUUUGUAUAAUGGGUCAGCGACUUAUAUUCUGUAGCAAGGUUAACCGUAUAGGGGAGCCGUAGGGAAACCGAGUCUUAACUGGGCGAAUGAGUUGCAGGGUAUAGACCCGAAACCCGGUGAUCUAUCCAUGGGCAGGUUGAAGGUUGGGUAACACUAACUGGAGGACCGAACCGACUAAUGUUGAAAAAUUAGCGGAUGACUUGUGGAUGGGGGUGAAAGGCCAAUCAAACCGGGAGAUAGCUGGUUCUCCCCGAAAGCUAUUUAGGUAGCGCCUCGUGAACUCAUCUUCGGGGGUAGAGCACUGUUUCGACUAGGGGGUCAUCCCGACUUACCAACUCGAUGCAAACUGCGAAUACCGAAGAAUGUUAUCACGGGAGACACACGGCGGGUGCUAACGUCCGUCGUGAAGAGGGAAACAACCCAGACCGCCAGCUAAGGUCCCAAAGUCAUGGUUAAGUGGGAAACGAAGUGGGAAGGCUCAGACAGCCAGGAUGUUGGCUUAGAAGCAGCCAUCAUUUAAAGAAAGCGUAAUAGCUCACUGGUCGAGUCGGCCCGCGCGGAAGAUGUAACGGGGCUAAACCAUGCACCGAAGCUGCGGCAGCGACACAAAGUGUUGUUGGGUAGGGGAGCGUUCUGUAAGCCUGCGAAGGUGUACUGUGAGGUAUGCUGGAGGUAUCAGAAGUGCGAAUGCUGACAUAAGUAACGAUAAUGCGGGUGAAAAACCCGCACGCCGGAAGACCAAGGGUUCCUGUCCAACGUUAAUCGGGGCAGGGUGAGUCGACCCCUAAGGCGAGGCUGAAAAGCGUAGUCGAUGGGAAACGGGUUAAUAUUCCCGUACUGGUGGUAACUGCGAUGGGGGAACGGAGAAGGCUAGGUUGUCCGGGCGACGGUCGUCCCGGUUCAAGCAGGUAGGCAGAGUGAUUAGGCAAAUCCGGUCACUUAAUGCUGAGAUGUGAUGACGAACCACCAAGGUGGUGAAGCAAUUGAUGCCCCGCUUCCAGGAAAAGCCUCUAAGCUUCAGGUUACCAACAAUCGUACCCCAAACCGACACAGGUGGUCAGGUAGAGAAUACUCAGGCGCUUGAGAGAACUCGGGUGAAGGAACUAGGCAAAAUGGUGCCGUAACUUCGGGAGAAGGCACGCUGGCGGUAGGUAAAGUCCCUUGCGGACGGCGCUGAAGCCAGUCGAAGAUACCAGCUGGCUGCAACUGUUUAUUAAAAACACAGCACUGUGCAAACACGAAAGUGGACGUAUACGGUGUGACGCCUGCCCGGUGCUGGAAGGUUAAUUGAUGGGGUUAGCGUAAGCGAAGCUCCUGAUCGAAGCCCCAGUAAACGGCGGCCGUAACUAUAACGGUCCUAAGGUAGCGAAAUUCCUUGUCGGGUAAGUUCCGACCUGCACGAAUGGCGUAAUGAUGGCCAGGCUGUCUCCACCCGAGACUCAGUGAAAUUGAACUCGCUGUGAAGAUGCAGUGUACCCGCGGCAAGACGGAAAGACCCCGUGAACCUUUACUAUAGCUUGACACUGAACAUUGAGCCUUGAUGUGUAGGAUAGGUGGGAGGCUUUGAAGUGUGGACGCCAGUCUGCAUGGAGCCAACCUUGAAAUACCACCCUUUAACGUUUGAUGUUCUAACCUAGGCCCAUAAACUGGGUCGGGGACCGUGUCUGGUGGGUAGUUUGACUGGGGCGGUCUCCUCCUAAAGAGUAACGGAGGAGCACGAAGGUUGGCUAAGCAUGGUCGGACAUCAUGCGGUUAGUGCAAAGGCAUAAGCCAGCUUGACUGCGAGAGUGACGGCUCGAGCAGGUACGAAAGUAGGUCUUAGUGAUCCGGUGGUUCUGAAUGGAAGGGCCAUCGCUCAACGGAUAAAAGGUACUCCGGGGAUAACAGGCUGAUACCGCCCAAGAGUUCAUAUCGACGGCGGUGUUUGGCACCUCGAUGUCGGCUCAUCACAUCCUGGGGCUGAAGUAGGUCCCAAGGGUAUGGCUGUUCGCCAUUUAAAGUGGUACGCGAGCUGGGUUUAGAACGUCGUGAGACAGUUCGGUCCCUAUCUGCCGUGGGCGUUGGAAGAUUGAGAGGGGUUGCUCCUAGUACGAGAGGACCGGAGUGAACGCACCACUGGUGUUCGGGUUGUCAUGCCAAUGGCAUUGCCCGGUAGCUAAGUGCGGAAGAGAUAACCGCUGAAAGCAUCUAAGCGGGAAACUUGCCUCGAGAUGAGUCUUCCCUGUCGCUUUAAGCGACCUAAAGGAACGUUUAAGACUAAGACGUUGAUAGGCUGGGUGUGUAAGCGUAGCGAUACGUUGAGCUAACCAGUACUAAUGAACCGUGAGGCUUAACCUGACAACACCGAAAGUGUUUUG
This 2930-nucleotide ribosomal RNA is filed under the name Proteus mirabilis. RNAcentral describes it as "bacterial LSU rRNA". It matches the Rfam family "Bacterial large subunit ribosomal RNA". The record is from RNAcentral. Lineage: Bacteria; Pseudomonadati; Pseudomonadota; Gammaproteobacteria; Enterobacterales; Morganellaceae.